GACCACAAGCUGAUGAGAGUCGUGCCAUCUCAGAUCUACAACUGCUGGCCAAGCAGUUCCCUCCCAUCAGUGAGAUGGCACUUCUCCAAGAGUGGCAGAGCUACAAAGUCCUAAUAACAACCGGAAUACUGAAAGACAAGUCCCAGCUGGAGAUCAUGACAGCAAUGGCAUCUGGGUAUGAUGAGCUCCAUCUACUCUACCCAAACCUGUCCCUCCUCUCUGCAAUCGCCCUAACAAUACCAGUCUCCAGUGUGAAUUGUGAGAGGGAUUUCUCGGCGAUGAAUAGGAUCAAGACAGACCUAAGAAACAGGCUGCAGGGCAACAGUCUGACAGCCUGCAUGAAAAUGAGCAUCAAUGGUCCGCAGGUGAAAGACCUACAGUACAGCAGGGCCCUUGAGAUUUUUUUCAGCAAACCAAGGAGGAUUGCUUGUAGUGAUGCCACUUGUCAGCU
Eleginops maclovinus (Patagonian blennie) is the source of this 451-nucleotide long non-coding RNA. RefSeq lists it as uncharacterized. The transcript is spliced from 3 exons. Lineage: Eukaryota; Metazoa; Chordata; Actinopteri; Perciformes; Eleginopidae. The record is from RefSeq and is a predicted model, not a curated record.